Molecule: unclassified non-coding RNA, 271 nt
Filed under: uncultured fungus
Lineage: Eukaryota; Fungi
Description: partial contains small subunit ribosomal RNA, internal transcribed spacer 1, and 5.8S ribosomal RNA
Rfam family: Eukaryotic small subunit ribosomal RNA (bases 1-73)
Source: RNAcentral
ACAAACUUGGUUAUUUAGAGGAAGUAAAAGUCGUAACAAGGUUUCCGUAGGUGAACCUGCGGAAGGAUCAUUAAAGAUUUAGUAAUCCUACUCACCUCGUGUGCAGCCUUUACAAGUCUGAUAUCCUUGGAGGUCAUCAUUAGUGAGCUCUCCAAGGAGGUUAUCACGAUCAAUGUAUCUUUUCUUACUAUUCCAUGUCUGGAUCAAUAAAUGUAAUUAAACAACUUUCAACAACGGAUCUCUUGGCUCUCGCAUCGAUGAAGAACGCAGC